Molecule: long non-coding RNA, 1422 nt
Organism: Myotis davidii
Lineage: Eukaryota; Metazoa; Chordata; Mammalia; Chiroptera; Vespertilionidae
Exons: 5
Source: RefSeq, a predicted model, not a curated record
CACAGCUCACACCCCGCUGGCCGCCCCGGAUCCCGCGCUCGCCUCGCGGUAUCCCCACCAGCUCGCCGCACCUCGGCUGGGAGCUGAGGACCCGCCGCCAGGCACUCCGGCCCCGCCCACCUCGCCUCCUCCAUUGGAUGAAUCUCGGCUGAGGAACCGCCCCUCCGCGUCUCUCAUUUGACGAAGGGCGUGUAGAGCGCGCCGUUCUGGAGCGGUCAAAGAGGCCCCGCCCCCUGGAGUCCAAUGCGAUUGGUCCGGGCGCCUCGUCCCGUAACGCCCCUGGCGGAGACCACGCUCUAGAGGAUCAGGUUGGUCCUGGCUGCUGUCACUCAACCCCGGGGGUCUGAAAGCGCGUGGAGGGGCGAGGCUAGGGCCUGGGUCCACCUUGACCCUGAAGCUCCGCCUCGUCGCGGGCGGGAUUGGUGGAGCUGCAGACCAACCAAGAAAGAUGGGUCGGCGUCUGAAACAAAGCACGCGAAGAGUUCCCAGAAAAACCUAGAAGGGCAGGCGCAAUCGGGGCAGUUUGGGUCUAGCUGCCCGAAGUAGGGGAGGCAGCCCGUCCUUCGUGCCGGGCGCUGCGCGUCCGGGUCUCCUGCCUGCCACGCACGCCUCUGAGCGGCUCUCUGCAGGAGCCCAGCCCGCGCCGAACUUGCACUUCUCUUGCUGGCUGUUUCCUGCAGCUGGACACUGGAUGAAGAAUUGCCGCGUCUUCCUUUCCGGCAGACGCUCCGAUGGGCUGUUCCCACGGCUUCGGGGUUGCGGGCAUCGUCCGUCACCCACACAUCCAGCUGCAGGCUCCAGCCCGCACAGCCGUGGAGGAAAUGCAGUACCCGGGCCGCCCUCGGCAGGGCCCCAGCCUCCUCGGACAAGUCGCAUCCGCUGAGACAGCCGGAGUCACUGCGCUGGGCGGCGGCCCAGAAAGCAAGCUGGCUGCUACUUGGCAGAGGGAGACAUUACUUGGAGGUGACUUCUUACCAGUUCCUUCUCAACACACGAAUAUCAUCCUUCUCGGUGACAUUUAACCUGACAGAGCGUCAGCUGGGCCCUACAGAGACGACUCCCCUUCCAUGUGCCCAGGCUACCAAAGUAGUGCCUGGUGGAUAGCCCUCCUGGACAGACCGCUUCCGUUUUCAGGAUGAGGCCCUUCCUUGGCACGUGAAGGCAAACCUCACUGUUCGCCAGUAGGAACAAGACUGAAGAAUAUUGAAACGAGCUUAACAAACAUCCUGAGAGUGAUUAAGCGACUUGCUUACGUGCACCCAGAAAGAAGAAGAGGCUAAAUGACUGCCCCACCCCAGAGUUAAUUAGCAAAAUAGACAAAAAGGGAAGAAGAAAUAUGUGCUUCUUGAGUCAGCAAGUUUCCACCACAGCAUCAGCUUUUGUUUGAGCAUCUCAUCAGUAAAGACUUCUGAGGGCAUUGCC